RNAcentral lists this long non-coding RNA (572 nucleotides) under Bos taurus (domestic cattle). RNAcentral describes it as "long non-coding RNA NONBTAT023764". The record is from RNAcentral. Lineage: Eukaryota; Metazoa; Chordata; Mammalia; Artiodactyla; Bovidae.
GGGGAAAAAAUGAAUCAAAAAUACUAGUAUGCACCUACCAUGCAGAUAACUCACUUCUCAUGUUCCUUUUUCUCAUUUAAAAGCAAGUUUGGUUAGCUCUUCCUGUCACGUUGAGAAAAAGGAUAACCAGUCUAUUUUCACAUUCAUUUAUUUCUUCUUCAUCUUUAUACUCAUUCUCUCUUCGAAUCUUAUUCUAUGAGAUGGCUCCAUCUCAUCCGCCCUAAUUACUGGUUCUCUCAUCUGUUUGCUUUUCCCUUUGGGUUUUGAUACUUUGUGCAUAUGUCUUGCCUUGAUGAGCACUGGAGAAUUGCCUUGUUUUGGUAUAUGCAUUGGUCUCCUUCAGCCACCCAAGUAACCACUUACCCUUUUAAAAUCUUUUAUUUAGAACUUUCCUUAAUACGAACACAACCUUAUUUAAACCAUUUUAUGACACCAUCAUUGUUUAAGUAGCUAAAAACUCCUACACACAGUGAGCUGAAUGAAAAUCUCACCUCCUGCGCCACACAGAGCCUUCAUAUUUUUUAAUUAGUGUCUCACAUACAGCUCCUUUCUACUUCCCACAGAAUUAGGGA